GAUGAACGCUGGCGGCGUGCCCAAUACAUGCAAGUCGAGCGAACAGAUAAGGAGCUUGCUCCUUUGACGUUAGCGGCGGACGGGUGAGUAACACGUGGGUAACCUACCUAUAAGACUGGAAUAACUCCGGGAAACCGGGGCUAAUGCCGGAUAACAUGUUGAACCGCAUGGUUCUACAGUGAAAGGCGGCUUUGCUGUCACUUAUAGAUGGACCCGCGCCGUAUUAGCUAGUUGGUGAGGUAACGGCUCACCAAGGCAACGAUACGUAGCCGACCUGAGAGGGUGAUCGGCCACACUGGAACUGAGACACGGUCCAGACUCCUACGGGAGGCAGCAGUAGGGAAUCUUCCGCAAUGGGCGAAAGCCUGACGGAGCAACGCCGCGUGAGUGAUGAAGGUCUUCGGAUCGUAAAACUCUGUUAUUAGGGAAGAACAAAUGCGUAAGUAACUGUGCGCGUCUUGACGGUACCUAAUCAGAAAGCCACGGCUAACUACGUG
Molecule: ribosomal RNA, 497 nt
Filed under: uncultured bacterium
Lineage: Bacteria
Description: partial 16S ribosomal RNA
Rfam family: Bacterial small subunit ribosomal RNA
Source: RNAcentral